Molecule: long non-coding RNA, 509 nt
Organism: Neopelma chrysocephalum (saffron-crested tyrant-manakin)
Lineage: Eukaryota; Metazoa; Chordata; Aves; Passeriformes; Pipridae
Exons: 3
Source: RefSeq, a predicted model, not a curated record
ACUUGAAGAAAUCUUUUGAUAUCAGCAUUUGUGUGCUAGCAGAGUCACAGGUAACAAACAUCAGCUGUGCAAGCAUUUUGAAGUGAUUGAUGCCACAGCACUUUCAUUUUAACAUGAACCAUUUCAGAGAAGGUGGCUCGAAAUAACAUUUUUAAAAAACAAUUUAUAUUAAGAUUUGUCUCCGUGUAAAAAGGCAGCUUUUAACUCAAAUGCAGAUGAAAGCAGCUGUUCCCUUGUGUAAUGCAGUCACCAAGGGCUGUUCUUGUCCCCCCGUUCCACACCCCUGUCAGCAGAGGGGGCCAGAGCAGCACAGGCUGGGGUAACAGCAGUGGGAGGAUGUUGUAUCCUGGCACGGCAUCUGCCCUUGCAGCCAGGAAAGGCAACACAGGAUUGUUCUGGAGCAUUUGCUACUCUCACUUUGGUGAGUUGGGUGAUCAGGUCCGAGGCAGAGGAGGCUGUGGUUGCAGCCCCAGUGCUGCUGUUGGCUCACGUGCAGAUCGGAACAGCAC